Molecule: ribosomal RNA, 820 nt
Filed under: uncultured eukaryote
Lineage: Eukaryota
Description: bacterial SSU rRNA
Rfam family: Bacterial small subunit ribosomal RNA
Source: RNAcentral
UAAGCAUCGGCUAACUCCGUGCCAGCAGCCGCGGUAAUACGGGGGAUGCAAGCGUUAUCCGGAAUCAUUGGGCGUAAAGCGCCUGUAGGUUGUUUGUUAAGUCUGUUGUUAAAGGCUAGGGCUCAACCCUAGAAAUGCGAUGGAAACUAAUAGACUAGAGUAUGGUAGGGGUAGAGGGAAUUUCUAGUGUAGCGGUGAAAUGCGUAGAUAUUAGAAAGAACACCGGUGGCGAAGGCGCUCUACUGGACCAUUACUGACACUCAGAGGCGAAAGCUAGGGGAGCAAAAGGGAUUAGAUACCCCUGUAGUCCUAGCCGUAAACGAUGGAUACUAGAUGUUGCGCAUUACGUGCAGUAUCGUAGCUAACGCGUUAAGUAUCCCGCCUGGGGAGUACGCUCGCAAGGGUGAAACUCAAAGGAAUUGACGGGGGCCCGCACAAGCGGUGGAGCAUGUGGUUUAAUUCGAUGCAACGCGAAGAACCUUACCAGGGCUUGACAUACUACAGAUCCCUUUGAAAAAAGGGAGUGCCUUCGGGAAUGUAGAUACAGGUGGUGCAUGGCUGUCGUCAGCUCGUGUCGUGAGAUGUUGGGUUAAGUCCCGCAACGAGCGCAACCCUUAUUUUUAGUUACCAAUUCGUUGGGUUCUCUAGAAAGACUGCCGGUGACAAACCGGAGGAAGGUGAGGAUGACGUCAAGUCAGCAUGCCCCUUAUGUCCUGGGCUACACACGUGCUACAAUGGCUAAGACAAAGAGUCGCAAGCUCGCGAGAGUCAGCUAAUCUCAUAAACUUAGCCCAAGUUCAGAUUGCAGGCUGCAACUCGC